GUAGCAGGAUCUGUGACGUCUUUGAGGGAAACAAACCAACCACCCUGUUCACUGAGAUUAUACAGCACAUGGUACCUGAAUUGAUUUAAUAAAAAAAACACCCAGUGAACUGAGAUUAUACAGCACAUGGUACCUGAAUUGAUUUAAUAAAAAACACCCAGUGAACUGAUAGUAGAUAUUUGUUUACAGAGAUCGUCAAGAAAAGCGCAAAAGAACAUGUAAAUAUUUGUGAGGGACCAAGCUGGAACUGGAAGGACUCACGUUAAGCUAAGUUUGUAAUUUGCUGAGUGCGUGCUACUAACGUUGCUAUUUCAAAACUUCAAUUAGUUGUGUGCUAUUUAAUCGGGUAACAAUGCUAGCUAACUGUUGUAUUUGAUGAAGUGGUCUUUGUUGCCUGAGUAAAUUAAACGCCGGUGAAACUAAAGCUUGAAAAUGGACAAUGGCGUGAUUGAUCACCAAUCCCACGGUAUCGGUGCGUUUGACCUGUACCAUCAUUUCGUUCGAGGGGAAUACACGAUACAAUAGGGGAAACACCAUCGCCAAAUUCAAGGGUAAAUUGGAGAUGGUUGUGGGUACCCCGGCCUCCAUUAUGGAACUACAGCUUUUCUUCAACACCACCGACAAGUUCAGAAGCUGGACGACAACCAGGCCCUGCUUGGUUCCUACCCUGUGCAUGAUGACUGCAAAAUGAAUGUAUAGUAGAUUUCAAGCCAGGUCAUUGGGUGGGAGUGAAGUAUAACGAGCCUCUUGGGAAACAUGACGGGCAGUGUGAAGGAGAAGUGAUACUUUGAAUGUGAGAACAAGUACGUUGCGUUUGUCAGGCCCCGCACAAAGACCGUGGGGCACUUCCCAGAGGAAGACUUUCAUCUGGACGAGAUGUAGGACUGUGAUGCUGUCACCCUGUCAAGGGGUGUGGGCAGAUGGGUUCAACAGACCUCCAGUCUGAUUACGAACCCGGGGCGAGGGACAGUGUCAUUGCGAUUAAUAACUUUCUUUUGUUAUGUGCUGGCCAGGGAGGUAUGGGUUGGGCUAUAGAGAGCUGCAACUGGGGAAGGAGGCAGUAUCACCUAGGACCGACUCUAGCGUAUGACAUCUCAUGUGGCACAGCGGUCUAAGGCACUGCAUCUCCGUGCUAGAGACGUUGUGACAGACGCCCCUAGCAACAAAAAAAAGAGAAGUGGAAUUUACUGUAUAUUGAAUGAGGAGAGAUGAGAAAAGCACAAUGUUUUUGCAUUGUUACAAAUACGUUGUCGCUGUAUUUCAUGUAAAUGUCAUUUUAUUCGGUGGAUGUAGAAAGCAAGCAUUUCUAAAUUUGAUGUCCUCAGAAUUUUGAAUUGAACCUGAAUUGCCCAUCACAUCCUAGAUUCUAUAUGAAUAAUAGGCAGUCAUAAAAAUCACAACAAUGUUCAUCAAAUUUCAAUUAUCAUCCCAAGCCAGGGUUCUAUCAAACUUUCUAAAAUAAAUCCCAUGCUUUUGAAUGCAAGAAUUCAAGCAACAACAACAUAUCUAUUUGUACUACUGACCACUGGCAAAAUGUUCAGUUUAUUUGAAUAUCUGUUAGUUCAUUGGUUAUUGUACCAUAGAAGCUGUUUGUUUUUGUGUGUCGUGUCCCUGUUUUAGAUUCUGGAAACUUACACUGCUUCUAACACCAUAACACAACCACAAGGCUCUCCAAAGGAUUGUGCAGUCUGUACAACGCAUCACUGGGGGCAAACUACCUGCCCUCCAGGACACCUACAGCACCCAAUGUCACAGGAAGGCCAAAAAGAUAAUCAAGGACAACAACCACCCGAGCCACUGCCUGUUCACCCCGCUACCAUCCAGAAGGCAAGGUCAGUCAGUACAGGUGCAUCAGCUGGGACCGACUGGGGAAAAACAGCUAUCUCAAGGCCAUCACAGACUGUUAAACAACCAACACAGAGAGGCUGCUGCCUACAUACAGACUUGAAAUCAUUGGCCACUUUAAUAAAUGGAUCACUAGUUACUUUAAUAAUGCCACUUUAAUGUUUAUAUCUUACAUACUCUUCUCAUAUGUAUAUACUGUAUUUUAUACAAUGUAUUGCAUCUGGCCUAUGCCGUGUGGUCAUUGCUCAUCCAUAUAUUUAUACGUACAUAUUCUUAUUCCAUCCCUUUAGAUUUGUGUGUAUUAGGUAAUUAUUUUGGAUUUGUUAUAUAUUACUGCACUGUCGGAACUAGAAGCACAAGCAUUUCGCUACACUCGUAUUAACAUCUGCUAACCAUGUGUAUGUGACCAAUAAGAUUUGAUUAGAAUGUCGAAACAUCAGUUGUGCACAUUGACAGCAUACAGUUCAAACCGGCUGCCCAGGUGGUGACAAUGCACUUUUCAUGUAGAUAUCACGUCUUGUCUGAGCUUCAUUGUACUAAUCCUCAUCGCCACUUCUAACAGUUUGACUCAUGAAGGCAUGUGAUCUGUCAUUUGUUGUGUCACUCCUGGUUGAGUGAGUUUCGUAAGAGAGAAUGUGGAUACAAAAGCAAUUGAUUCAUUUGUUCCUUUUUUAUUGAAUUGUAUUUUUCCCAAGAUGUUGUCAGCAACUAACAUGCCCAGAGAUUUGACAUCUGUUUUUAUGAAAUCUCAAAGGUGUUGAUGUGCCAAGGUGUAAUGGUAUCUUAUGCAUAAUAAAAUGUAGUAUUACCAGCA
Molecule: long non-coding RNA, 2659 nt
Organism: Oncorhynchus keta (chum salmon)
Lineage: Eukaryota; Metazoa; Chordata; Actinopteri; Salmoniformes; Salmonidae
Exons: 4
Source: RefSeq, a predicted model, not a curated record